This 1871-nucleotide long non-coding RNA is filed under the name Capra hircus (goat). Its description in RNAcentral is "lncRNA (ENSCHIG00010022152.1)". The record is from RNAcentral. Lineage: Eukaryota; Metazoa; Chordata; Mammalia; Artiodactyla; Bovidae.
CCCGCCCCGCCGCUGCUUUGCAUGAGAAAGCGCAGCGCCCGGCCCCCAGAUCUUGCCGCCGCCCCGGCCCCGGGCCCCGCGUCGCCGCCCUCUCGUGCGUCCCGCCCGCUGCUCCUUCGCCUUCUGCGCCAGCCUCCAACUUGGCCUCUCGUCGCCUCCCCGCCUGCGCUCCCUUUCUCGGGGCGUCCCCGGCCUCGUCCCCCGCAGCCCAAGGGCGCCGGGGUUACUGGAAGUUCGGAGACUGGCCGGAGGAAGGGGUGGGCUGGUCCAAGUCAGGCUAGGGGCUUAUCUCCUCUGAUUUUUAUGAAGAAAAAAAAAAUGUCUGCAGAAGUGCUUCUCUCUGCCCAGCUGAGAUGGAAACCAACAAAUAGACAUUAUGAUCGAAAAAUGAGGGCUCUGAGAAAUCACCAACUGCAAGAUAACUCUGUAACUAAUAAAUGAAAAGGCCCUUUUGAUGGCUCCAGCUGAAAAGAUAUUUUAUUUUAUUUUUUUUUCCUGUGUGUGGGAUUUGAGAUGUGUGAUUCUAAGGAGCGGCGGGGUUCCCUGCUGCUCAGCUCUGGCUGGCAACUGGCCCCCCUCUGGCAAAUGUUAUGGAGAAUUGGGAGGAAUUUUAUGGCUGUCUCUCCCCUCAGCUCUUUUUUCUUUUGUCUUCUUUGAAGAAUGACUUUAGACAUUUUAUUUACAUAUUUAACCAUGGAUGAAAGGGGGAAAAGAAAGCAUUUGGGGCUGUCGUGGGAAUGGUGAUAUGUUUAAAUUAAUGGAAAUCUUAUUAGGCCUCUAAAAUUUUGAGCAAAGGUUUUUAAUGAAACUUUAUAAUUAAACAUGAUUUCAAAUAACAUGCAAGGACAAGGAAUAUAUAUGUAUAUGUUUUAUACACCAACUAUCUAAAAAUAUAUGUAUAUGGGAGAGACACUCUUAAACAUUAACUACCUUCAAAUUCUUGCAAAUGUUUGCCCAGAAAAAGAAUAAGGUUUUUGAACAGGAACGUGAUUUCAGCAGUCAGGCAGUAUUUUGACUGAGAGUUAAGUAUUUCUGGAUGGAAGGAGAUUGAGAGAGAGGCAGAGUUUUAUCACCUAGCAAAUUACAAAGUCAAAAAGAACUUAAGAAUAUUGCUAAAAAUCAAAGUUGUAUUUCCUCUUAAGAUGUUAUAGUCAGUGGAAAUGAUGAGCAGUGUGUGAGAUGUUCUGAAAUGAGAUUCAAGAAAACCCACAGUAAUCUCUUUAAGAUAACAAGUACUGACUCUUUCAACAGUAGAGAAAAAUUAAACCAUAGACUUAGCACGUUACAAGCUAAUUACAAGAGUAAACUUGUAGACUAUCAGCACAGCUUAGGAAAAGAAAGAGAAGCGUGUUGUAGGGUUGAAGGUAGAAAGUGGUUCAGGUGAUCUGUUUUUCUAGGAACUCUGGCUUGGAGCAUCUCUCUCAGCACAGUGGCGUUUGAUGAUCUGGUAAAAUGAGUCUGAUGUUUCUUUUAUCCUCUAUUAUCAUCAAUAUUUGUAUUUCAUCAGCACUUUUCCGAUUCUCCUUUCAAGUAAGAAUGCGAUGCUAAUAAUGGUCUGACAUGUAGAGCGAUCUCUGAUACCAAAACGUGCCUUUUUCCCUGAUUUCAUCUUGGGUUAUGUUUGUGCAGAAGCUUAUUAUGAGAUUUAGGAGGGAAAAAAAAACAGGCACUGAGAAUUCUGUUUUCUAAGCAAGCAGGCGUGCUCUUCCCCCCCACCCCCACCCCACAUUAUUCUCCUAGGAGAAAAUACCUUUGGUCAUCCGAAGGGAUACUUACUAAAGAAAACACACAGCGUGUACCACCCCAGAAGCCACACAAGCUGCGGCAAAUUCACCGGCCACAAAGUUUUUCAUUCCACCUAAAAACACUCG